UACGGAGGGGGCUAGCGUUGUUCGGAAUUACUGGGCGUAAAGCGCGCGUAGGCGGCUUUGUAAGUUAGAGGUGAAAGCCCAGGGCUUAACCCUGGAAUUGCCUUUAAGACUGCAUCGCUAGAAUCGUGGAGAGGUGAGUGGAAUUCCGAGUGUAGAGGUGAAAUUCGUAGAUAUUCGGAAGAACACCAGUGGCGAAGGCGGCGACCUGGUCCUUUUACUGACGCUGAGGCGCGAAAGCGUGGGGAGCAAACAGG
Molecule: ribosomal RNA, 254 nt
Filed under: uncultured bacterium
Lineage: Bacteria
Description: partial 16S ribosomal RNA
Rfam family: Bacterial small subunit ribosomal RNA
Source: RNAcentral